UGGCGACCGGCGCAUGGGUGAGUAACGCGUAUCCAACCUGCCCUUUACUAUGGGACAGCCCGUCGAAAGGCGGAUUAAUACCGUAUGUUGUCAUGUUGAUGCAUAUUUUCAUGACCAAAGGCUUCGGCCGGUAAAGGAUGGGGAUGCGUCUGAUUAGCUUGCCGGCGGGGUAACGGCCCACCGGGGCGACGAUCAGUAGGGGUUCUGAGAGGAAGGUCCCCCACAUUGGAACUGAGACACGGUCCAAACUCCUACGGGAGGCAGCAG
Molecule: ribosomal RNA, 267 nt
Filed under: uncultured bacterium
Lineage: Bacteria
Description: partial 16S ribosomal RNA
Rfam family: Bacterial small subunit ribosomal RNA
Source: RNAcentral